AACUGCGAGUGAAGCGGGAAAAGCUCAAAUUUAAAAUCUGGCGGUCCUUGGCCGUCCGAGUUGUAAUUUAGAGAAGCGUCUUCCGCGCCGGACCGUGCACAAGUCUCCUGGAAUGGAGCGUCGUAGAGGGUGAGAAUCCCGUCUUUGGCACGGACCCCCGGUGCUUCUGUGAUGCGCUCUCGAAGAGUCGAGUUGUUUGGGAAUGCAGCUCAAAAUGGGUGGUGAACUCCAUCUAAAGCUAAAUAUUGGCGAGAGACCGAUAGCGAACAAGUACCGUGAGGGAAAGAUGAAAAGCACUUUGGAAAGAGAGUGAAACAGUACGUGAAAUUGUUGAAAGGGAAACGCUUGAAGUCAGUCGCGUCGACCGAGACUCAGCCUCGCCUCGGCUUGGUGUACUUCUCGGGCUGACGGGUCAGCGUCGAUUUUGCUGCUCGGAAAAUGACAAGGGAAAGGUGGCACCUUUGCGGGUGUGUUAUAGUCUCCUGUCGCAUACGAGGGGUGGGAUCGAGGAACUCAGCACGCGCCUUUUGGUGUCGGGGCUUCG
This 544-nucleotide ribosomal RNA is filed under the name Lactarius cucurbitoides. Its description in RNAcentral is "LSU rRNA". It matches the Rfam family "Eukaryotic large subunit ribosomal RNA", at positions 85 to 630 of the family's 3401-position model. The record is from RNAcentral. Lineage: Eukaryota; Fungi; Basidiomycota; Agaricomycetes; Russulales; Russulaceae.